This 499-nucleotide ribosomal RNA is filed under the name uncultured bacterium. Its description in RNAcentral is "partial 16S ribosomal RNA". It matches the Rfam family "Bacterial small subunit ribosomal RNA", at positions 28 to 507 of the family's 1533-position model. The record is from RNAcentral.
GACGAACGCUGGCGGCGUGCCUAAUACAUGCAAGUCGAGCGGACUUUCAAGAAGCUUGCUUUUUGAAAGUUAGCGGCGGACGGGUGAGUAACACGUGGGCAACCUGACUGCAAGACGGGGAUAACUCCGGGAAACCGGGGCUACUACCGGAUAAUAUAUUCCUUCGCAUGAAGGCAGGUUGAAAGGCGGCGCAAGCUGCCGCUUGCAGAUGGGCACGCGGCGCAUUAGCUAGUUGGUGAGGUAACGGCUCACCAAGGCGACGAUGCGUAGCCGACCUGAGAGGGUGAGCGGCCAAACUGGGACGGGAACACGGCCCAGACUCCUACGAGAGGCAGCAGUAGGGAAUCUUCCGCAAAGGACGAAAGGCGGACGGAGCAACGCCGCGUGAGCGAAGAAGGUCUUCGGAUCGUAAAGCUCUGUUGUCAGGGAGGAACAAGAACCGUUCGAACAGGGCGGUACCAUGACGGUACCUGAACAGAAAGCCACGGCUAACUACGUG